Girardinichthys multiradiatus is the source of this 600-nucleotide long non-coding RNA. RefSeq lists it as uncharacterized. The transcript has 2 exons. The record is from RefSeq and is a predicted model, not a curated record. NCBI's taxonomy places the organism in Eukaryota, Metazoa, Chordata, Actinopteri, Cyprinodontiformes, Goodeidae.
UUCGCUUGAGCGUAUUCACACCUGCAGAAAAGGUCCGGACCAAGGGGGGCAACGAACUCUGGUCCGUUUAAAGCGGACAAAAAGUGGCAAGUCUCCUCUGCUGCCUGCUGCUUCCUUUAGUUUCCUCUAGGUGGUGCCAGAGCAGGGUCUCUGAGGGUUGCAUAGUUCACUGGAUCCCACUCCAGUUCUCCUUCUGGUUCCAAGCCUCCUUUGAUGAUUCUGAUCUUUGGACAAGAUCCCAGCUGACAGCAUUUUUGGCUCCUCUCUCAAGAUACUGGUAAACAAACCCUGCUCACCCUCCACCGUGCUCACCACCAAACUCCACACCGCCUCGCUCUGGCCUUUGGAUCACUUACCUUCAGCAAGUAGCUUGGAUCAGGUCCUACACUAAAGGACAAACUCUCCACUCCCAGACCCACCUCAUUCUCCCCUCUGGUGGUUCAUCUACUCAACAACUAUAAGCAUAAAAUCUUUUCAACGUCAUCAUACAUAUCAACUCCAUUCUAACCUCCCUGUCCCCCUUCCUGCACAGUUGAAGUGUUUUCCUGGUUCCGGAUAUCAACCAACAUUAUUCUUUACAAUAAAACAUCUUAAGUCCUC